RNAcentral lists this ribosomal RNA (387 nucleotides) under uncultured bacterium. Its description in RNAcentral is "bacterial SSU rRNA". It matches the Rfam family "Bacterial small subunit ribosomal RNA", at positions 28 to 415 of the family's 1533-position model. The record is from RNAcentral.
GACGAACGCUGGCGGCGUGCUUAACACAUGCAAGUCGAGCGGUAAGGCCCUUUCGGGGGUACACGAGCGGCGAACGGGUGAGUAACACGUGGGUGACCUGCCCUCAGCUCUGGGAUAAGCCUGGGAAACCGGGUCUAAUACCGGAUAUGACUCCAUGACGCAUGUUGUGGGGUGGAAAGCCUUGUGCGGCUGAGGAUGGGCCCGCGGCCUAUCAGCUUGUUGGUGGGGUGAUGGCCUACCAAGGCGACGACGGGUAGCCGGCCUGAGAGGGCGACCGGCCACACUGGGACUGAGACACGGCCCAGACUCCUACGGGAGGCAGCAGGUGGGGAAUCUUGCGCAAUGGGCGAAAGCCUGACGCAGCGACGCCGCGUGAGGGAUGACGCU